RNAcentral lists this ribosomal RNA (613 nucleotides) under Priestia megaterium. RNAcentral's name for it is "bacterial SSU rRNA". It matches the Rfam family "Bacterial small subunit ribosomal RNA", at positions 81 to 682 of the family's 1533-position model. The record is from RNAcentral. Lineage: Bacteria; Bacillati; Bacillota; Bacilli; Caryophanales; Bacillaceae.
CUUCCCCUCCUUCCCCGCCGACCGUUCACUACACCUGCUGCAACCUGCCUGUAAGACUGGGAUAACUUCGGGAAACCGAAGCUAAUACGGAUAGGAUCUUCUCCUUCAUGGGAGAUGAUUGAAAGAUGGUUUCGGCUAUCACUUACAGAUGGGCCCGCGGUGCAUUAGCUAGUUGGUGAGGUAACGGCUCACCAAGGCAACGAUGCAUAGCCGACCUGAGAGGGUGAUCGGCCACACUGGGACUGAGACACGGCCCAGACUCCUACGGGAGGCAGCAGUAGGGAAUCUUCCGCAAUGGACGAAAGUCUGACGGAGCAACGCCGCGUGAGUGAUGAAGGCUUUCGGGUCGUAAAACUCUGUUGUUAGGGAAGAACAAGUACGAGAGUAACUGCUCGUACCUUGACGGUACCUAACCAGAAAGCCACGGCUAACUACGUGCCAGCAGCCGCGGUAAUACGUAGGUGGCAAGCGUUAUCCGGAAUUAUUGGGCGUAAAGCGCGCGCAGGCGGUUUCUUAAGUCUGAUGUGAAAGCCCACGGCUCAACCGUGGAGGGUCAUUGGAAACUGGGGAACUUGAGUGCAGAAGAGAAAAGCGGAAUUCCACGUGUAGCGGU